Molecule: ribosomal RNA, 420 nt
Filed under: uncultured bacterium
Lineage: Bacteria
Description: bacterial SSU rRNA
Rfam family: Bacterial small subunit ribosomal RNA
Source: RNAcentral
CUUAACGGUAAAAGCGCCUUCGAUACGGGCAGUCUUGAGUCCAGAAGAGGCCGGUGGAAUUCGUGGUGUAGCGGUGAAAUGCAUAGAUAUCACGAAGAACACCAGUGGCGCAGGCGGCCGGCUGGUCUGGAACUGACGCUGAGGCACGAGAGCGUGGGGAGCGAACAGGAUUAGAUACCCUGGUAGUCCACGCUGUAAACGAUGUGUGCUAGGUGUUGGCCCUUCGGGGUCGGUGCCGCAGCUAACGCAGUAAGCACACCACCUGGGGAGUACGUCCGCAAGGAUGAAACUCAAAGGAAUUGACGGGGGCCCGCACAAGCGGUGGAGCAUGUGGCUUAAUUCGAUGCAACGCGAAGAACCUUACCCAGGCUAAAUCUCGGGCGACCGGCCCGGAAACGGGCCUUCCCUUCGGGGCGGCCG